Molecule: ribosomal RNA, 253 nt
Filed under: uncultured bacterium
Lineage: Bacteria
Description: partial 16S ribosomal RNA
Rfam family: Bacterial small subunit ribosomal RNA
Source: RNAcentral
UACGAGAGGCGCAAACGUUAUUCGGAAUUACUGGGCUUAAAGAGUUCGUAGGCGGCGCAGAAAGUAGGGUGUGAAAGCCCUCGGCUCAACCGAGGAAUUGCGCUCUAAACUACUGUGCUUGAGGGACCUAGAGGUGAGCGGAACUGAUGGUGGAGCGGUGAAAUGCGUUGAUAUCAUCAGGAACACCGGUGGCGAAGGCGGCAUCCUGGACCGGCAUUGACGCUGAGGCGCGAAAGCCAGGGGAGCAAACGGG